RNAcentral lists this ribosomal RNA (280 nucleotides) under uncultured bacterium. RNAcentral describes it as "partial 16S ribosomal RNA". It matches the Rfam family "Bacterial small subunit ribosomal RNA", at positions 30 to 312 of the family's 1533-position model. The record is from RNAcentral. RNAcentral also lists the same sequence under 1 other name.
AUUGAACGCUGGCGGCAUGCCUUACACAUGCAAGUCGAACGGUAACAGGUCUUCGGACGCUGACGAGUGGCGAACGGGUGAGUAAUACAUCGGAACGUGCCCAGUCGUGGGGGAUAACUACUCGAAAGAGUAGCUAAUACCGCAUACGAUCUGAGGAUGAAAGCGGGGGACCUUCGGGCCUCGCGCGAUUGGAGCGGCCGAUGGCAGAUUAGGUAGUUGGUGGGAUAAAAGCUUACCAAGCCGACGAUCUGUAGCUGGUCUGAGAGGACGACCAGCCACA